GUCCUCUCAGGGUCGCACCUGGAGAGUUUCCAGUUCUCUACCAGUGUCAGCUAUGGGAGGGAGAGUCAAGCAGAGGCCGAUCCAUUCCAUUCCUAGCUUGGGAAGGGGCUAGCGCGUGGAAGACCAUCUGCUACAAGU
Small nucleolar RNA from Tachyglossus aculeatus (Australian echidna), 138 nucleotides. NCBI's taxonomy places the organism in Eukaryota, Metazoa, Chordata, Mammalia, Monotremata, Tachyglossidae. The record is from RefSeq and is a predicted model, not a curated record.